AACGAACGCUGGCGGCAUGCCUAACACAUGCCAGUCGAACGAGACCUUCGUGUCUGGUUGCGCACGGGUGCGUCACGCGUGGGAAUCUACCCUCAGGUUCGGAAUACCUCAGAGAAGUUUGAGCUAAUACCGGAUGAUUACGUAAGUCACCAGAUUUAUCGACUGAGGAUGAGCCCGCGUAGGAUUAGGUAGUUGGUGAGGUAAAGGCUGACCAAGCCGACGAUCCUUAGCUGGUCUGAGAGGAUGAGCAGCCACACUGGGACGGGGACACGGUCCAGAAUCCUACGGGAGGGAGCAGAGGGGAAUAUAGGAAAACGGGCGAAAGGAUGAACCAGCAAGGGCGGGUGAGUGAUGAAGGCGUUAGGGUUGUAAAGCUGUUUUACCCGGGAUGAUAAUGACAGUACCGGGAGAAUAAGCACCGGCUAACUUCGUG
Molecule: ribosomal RNA, 433 nt
Filed under: uncultured bacterium
Lineage: Bacteria
Description: partial 16S ribosomal RNA
Rfam family: Bacterial small subunit ribosomal RNA
Source: RNAcentral